UCUACGGGAGGCAGCAGUGGGGAAUCUUGCGCAAUGGGCGAAAGCCUGACGCAGCGACGCCGCGUGCGGGACGAAGGCCUUCGGGUCGUAAACCGCUUUCAGCAGGGACGAGGCGAAAGUGACGGUACCUGCAGAAGAAGCCCCGGCUAACUACGUGCCAGCAGCCGCGGUAAUA
RNAcentral lists this ribosomal RNA (175 nucleotides) under uncultured Olsenella sp. RNAcentral's name for it is "partial 16S ribosomal RNA". It matches the Rfam family "Bacterial small subunit ribosomal RNA", at positions 338 to 525 of the family's 1533-position model. The record is from RNAcentral. Lineage: Bacteria; Bacillati; Actinomycetota; Coriobacteriia; Coriobacteriales; Atopobiaceae.